Molecule: ribosomal RNA, 477 nt
Filed under: uncultured bacterium
Lineage: Bacteria
Description: partial 16S ribosomal RNA
Rfam family: Bacterial small subunit ribosomal RNA
Source: RNAcentral
GACGAACGCUGGCGGCGUGCUUAACACAUGCAAGUCGAACGGUAAGGCCCUUCGGGGUACACGAGUGGCGAACGGGUGAGUAACACGUGGGUGAUCUGCCCUGCACUUCGGGAUAAGCCUGGGAAACUGGGUCUAAUACCGGAUAGGACUCCGGACUGCAUGGUCUGGGGUGGAAAGCUUUUGCGGUGUGGGAUGGGCCCGCGGCCUAUCAGCUUGUUGGUGGGGUGAUGGCCUACCAAGGCGACGACGGGUAGCCGGCCUGAGAGGGUGACCGGCCACACUGGGACUGGGAUACGGCCCAGACUCCUACGGGAGGCGGCAGUGGGGAAUAUUGCACAAUGGGCGCAAGCCUGAUGCAGCGACGCCGCGUGAGGGAUGACGGCCUUCGGGUUGUAACCUCUUUCAGCAUCGACGAAGCGAAAGUGACGGUAGGUGCAGAAGAAGGACCGGCCAACUACGUGCCAGCCGCCGCUGUAA